GCAGUGUAGCACUCGCGCCCUUGGGGGCUAGCGUUUGGCCGGAGCUACACACUCUUUACUCACGCACGCACACCGCCGUACACAGCACAAUCGUUCACCGUCCCGCCAAAGGCUCGUCUCUCGGGUUCUGCCUAGUGGAAGGAGUCGGACAACGCCGCACGUCACGGGCGUUUCGGAUUUCUUGCUUCCCAAAGGUUUGACGGCGGCCACCGGCGCCCCGGCCCAGCUCUGCUUUCCUUUGCUGACUCCUUCCUUUAGGUGUGAAUUUUAAAAUGCUGAUACCGCCCCAAGAGAGCUGAGUCAAGUGAGGCAAACGUUCGCCUGUUGUUCUCCUGACAGACUCCCUGCAGUGGGCAGGGGAAAUGUGGCCUUGGCCGACAUUAAUGAAGUGCCAGGAUGGAGGGAGGGGGCCUGCUGAUUUGUUCUGUUUUACUUUUUAAGGGUAACUAGAGCGUUACUGGAGUCGUCUGUGGGUUUGGGGAGUAUGUGGCGCGUGUGUGUGUCACACAUUUCACUGGCAACUCCCGCCAACCCCUUCCCAAGAAAUGAAGGCUCUAAUGUGGGCAGUUCUGCAACAAAGGUGAAACUUCCCCAAAUCACGAUUCCCCGCAAGAUGAGAGAGCAGGUGCAGCAUCCAUUUUCCCACUAUCACGCUUGAGAUGGUGGCUUUGGGCACUGCCGGGUGCCCCGACAUCCUUCCCAGAGCCCAGCCUUCCCACCCAGGCCCGGCCCUGCGCGGCCGCCUGCCUUUGCAUCAGAGACCGCGGCUGUGCCAUUGCCAAGGUGGGCAGCGCCGCCUCGCUUCCCCAUUCCUCCGUCUCCCACGCCUCUUGCGUGUUUGAGUCGCGAAGUGAUGGACUUUAAAUCUCAGAGGAGGAAUGAGAAACUUGGUUAGUGGCUCUCUUGGCAUGUUCGUAGCCCUGUGGUUGAAGUGGCUGAAACCUGCGUUGAGCCUCAGUCCAAGCAGCUGGGGCCACACCAGUUUGCAAAAGCGGAUGUGGCAGUUUCCACCGCAGCAGCAGCCUGCUGGCGCCUCAUCAGAUUCUCCUUUGGAGGAAGUAUCUUCUUCCCUUCAUUCUCGGUGAAUGGCAUCCAGAGAUAACCAAAAUCAGGUGUAUCUAGUUUCAAGUUCUGUCUUGCAACCGUGAUAAUUGGAGGAUGCAAACUUUACACUUUCUUCUCUAGCUGUCUACCACCACUGCUGCGCUUGUGGAUGACUGCAGGAACACCGGGUACUUGCCACAAGUAUCUCUCCAGAUUCAUCAGCCUUUCACCUGUGACAAGCUCAGUCAAGAAGUGGCUCCUAAGUAAAAGCUGGGGAAGAACAAGGAAGAUAGAGCUCAGAGUAGAAAGCUGUGAAGUUCUGCACAACAGGUCCCCUUGGCCUGCUCUAACAGUUGGAAGGUGGGGGAAGCAUUCAUUUACUCAACAAAUAUAUACUGAGUGCCUUUUGCAUGCUAGGCACGCUUCUAGGGGUUGAGGACACAGCAGAGAGCACAAACAACAAUUCCAGCCCUCGUGGAGCUUACCUCUUCCACGUGGGAAAGACAGAUGGUAAAUGUAUAAGGACAAUAUAUGGACUGCUGUAUGAUUAGAAAUGCUAUGGAGAGGCUAGGAGUGCUGUCUCAUGCCUGUAAUCCCGCAGUUUGGGAGGCCAAAGGAGGAGGAUCACUUGAGGCCAGAAGUUGGAGACCCAACCUGGGCAACAUAACAGGCAUGGUAGCUCAUGUGGAAGCUUCCCGAGGCCCUCACCCAGAAGCAGAUGCUGGAGCCAUGCUUGUACAGCUUGCAGAACUAAAGCCCAGCUGGCUUGGUUCCAUGAAUCUUUGCCCUUCUUUCCAUCCACUUCUUCCUGCUUGGACAUUGGUUACCUGGAGAAGCAGAAGCCAUUUUAAGAUGAUGAAAGCAAAAGUUAAAUGUAUGAGAUGAUGGUGCAGAAAGCCAAAAGGGGCCUCCAGAACACUGAGCUUUGUGGAGUCGUGUACCAUAGCUGUAUUGCCGACCUCUGAACUUCCUGCUGAGAUAAAAAACAAUCCUUAUGUGUUUAUACUACUUUUAUUUCAGUUUCUUUUAAGUAUAGCAAACACAUUCCAAAUAAUAUGCAUCUGAAGUUUUUGGUUUUGUUUUUAAAUUUUUUUUUUAGGGAUGGGUUCUGGCUGCGUAGUGGCUAGAGUGUAGUGGCUAUUCUUAGGUGCGGUCAUAGCUCACUACAGCCUCUAACUGGCCUCAAGCAAUCCUCCCACCUCAGCUUCCAGGGUAGCUGGGAUUACAGGAGAGCACCACACUGAAGUUUCUGUUAAAUAGAAUGUUUGCUGUAGAUUUUUAGUUGAUGUCCUCUGUUAGGUUGAAAACCUUCCUUUAUUUUCUUGUGAAAUUUCUAAGAGAUUUUUAAAUCAUUAACUGGUAUUGAACUUUAUAAAAUGAUUUUUCUGUGUCUGAGAUGAUCAUGUGAUUAUUUUUCCUGUUUAUGUCCCUUGAUGUGAUGAUUUUUAUUGUAGAUCUUCCUUUAUUGAACCAAAUUUACGUUAUUUAUAUUAACCCUAUUUGAUUGUAAUAUAUUUUUAGUAGGGUAUUAGACUCUGUUACCUAACAUUUUACUUAGCAUUAUUUUGCAUCUAUGUUCAUAAGUAAAAUAGGAGUUUUUUUCUUUAUGUGACUAGGUAUCAACAUUAUAUUGGCCUUAUAAAUUAUGUUGAACACUU
This 2702-nucleotide long non-coding RNA is filed under the name Homo sapiens (human). Its description in RNAcentral is "FHIP1A divergent transcript, transcript variant 2 (FHIP1A-DT)". Lineage: Eukaryota; Metazoa; Chordata; Mammalia; Primates; Hominidae. The record is from RNAcentral.